GCCACGUAGAGCUGUGAGCCAACAGGAGUUACGAGGUUAACCUGACAUGUGUGACGUGACGCGUGAGUGAAGGACACCCACACACUCAGAAAGCAGAACACAGCCAAUUAUCUCCCAUCGGCAGCAGCAUAGUCUGUGUUUGCGGCUCCGGUCCCCGCAGGAGGCCUUUUGCCUUUUGGUAGGCCAUCAUUGUAAGUAAGAAUGUGUUCUUAACUGACUUGCCUAGCUAAAUAAAGGUUAAAUCAAACCGGGCCUUCUAAUCCUGGGAGAGACACACUGCCAGACAGGGUCACAGGUGGAGAGAGG
RNAcentral lists this long non-coding RNA (306 nucleotides) under Salmo salar (Atlantic salmon). Its description in RNAcentral is "lncRNA (ENSSSAG00000093172.1)". Lineage: Eukaryota; Metazoa; Chordata; Actinopteri; Salmoniformes; Salmonidae. The record is from RNAcentral.